GAUGAACGCUGGCGGCGUGCUUAACACAUGCAAGUCGAACGGAAAGGCCCAAGCUUGCUUGGGUACUCGAGUGGCGAACGGGUGAGUAACACGUGGGUGAUCUGCCCUGCACUUCGGGAUAAGCCUGGGAAACUGGGUCUAAUACCGGAUAGGACCACAUUUUGGAUGGUGUGGUGGAAAGUUUUUCGGUGUGGGAUGAGCUCGCGGCCUAUCAGCUUGUUGGUGGGGUAAUGGCCUACCAAGGCGUCGACGGGUAGCCGGCCUGAGAGGGUGUACGGCCACAUUGGGACUGAGAUACGGCCCAGACUCCUACGGGAGGCAGCAGUGGGGAAUAGUGCACAAUGGGCGCAAGCCUGAUGCAGCGACGCCGCGGGGGGGAUGACGGCCUUCGGGUUGGAAACUCCUUUCGCUAGGGACGAAGCGUUAUGUGACGGUACCUGGAGAAGAAGCACCGGCUAACUACGUG
RNAcentral lists this ribosomal RNA (466 nucleotides) under uncultured bacterium. RNAcentral describes it as "partial 16S ribosomal RNA". It matches the Rfam family "Bacterial small subunit ribosomal RNA", at positions 28 to 507 of the family's 1533-position model. The record is from RNAcentral.